This 426-nucleotide ribosomal RNA is filed under the name uncultured Actinomycetes bacterium. RNAcentral's name for it is "bacterial SSU rRNA". It matches the Rfam family "Bacterial small subunit ribosomal RNA", at positions 958 to 1385 of the family's 1533-position model. Lineage: Bacteria; Bacillati; Actinomycetota; Actinomycetes. The record is from RNAcentral.
AACGCGAAGAACCUUACCAAGGUUUGACAUGCAGGGAAAAGCCGUAGAGAUACGGUGUCCGUAAGGGUCCUGCACAGGUGGUGCAUGGCUGUCGUCAGCUCGUGUCGUGAGAUGUUGGGUUAAGUCCCGCAACGAGCGCAACCCUCGUCCUAUGUUGCCAGCGGAUAAUGCCGGGGACUCAUAGGAGACUGCCGGGGUCAACUCGGAGGAAGGUGGGGAUGACGUCAAGUCAUCAUGCCCCUUAUAUCUUGGGCUGCAAACAUGCUACAAUGGCCGGUACAGAGGGCUGCGAGACCGCAAGGUGGAGCGAAUCUCAAAAAGCCGGUCUCAGUUCGGAUUGGGGUCUGCAACUCGACCCCAUGAAGUCGGAGUCGCUAGUAAUCGCGAAUCAGCAACGUCGCGGUGAAUACGUUCCCGGGCCUUGUA